Molecule: long non-coding RNA, 553 nt
Filed under: Carica papaya (papaya)
Lineage: Eukaryota; Viridiplantae; Streptophyta; Magnoliopsida; Brassicales; Caricaceae
Description: long non-coding RNA (CPAP_LNC006052)
Source: RNAcentral
CGAGAACACCAAUAAACUCGUCAGCAACAUAGACACACAUAUAUAUUCAUGUCAUGUAUACGAUAAUAUAUACAUAUGUAGGUAACAGAGUACCAUGACAUUCACCUAAAGAAGCGAACUUUCUGAGGUAUAGAGACACCCAGUUGCUCAAAUAUUGAAACAAUGAUGUCUUAUAUACUCAUCUUACGUAUAUGAUACUUAAUUAUGUACAUAUACUGGUAGCAAAGUACCAUGAAAUUCACCUAAAGAAUCGAACUUUCUGAGGUAUGGAGACACCCAGAUGCUCAGAUAUUGAAACAAUAGCGUCUUAUAUACUCAUCCUACGUAUAUAAUACUUAAAUAUAUACAUGUAUAUAGGUAGCAAAGUACCAUGAAAUUCACCUAAAGAAGCGAACUUUCUGAGGCAUGGAGACACCCAGUUGCUCAGAUAUUGAAACAAUGGCGUCUUUGAGGGUAAUACUGUUGAUAACAUUGUUGGGGAAAUACUUGGUGUACUGAAGUGAAAGUGAAGCGUCACAAACCACCAGCUCCCACAUCUUCUUCCCUCUGGCAU